CAGAGAUGGAUUUGUGCCUUCGGGAACCGUGAGACAGGUGCUGCAUGGCUGUCGUCAGCUCGUGUUGUGAAAUGUUGGGUUAAGUCCCGCAACGAGCGCAACCCUUAUCCUUUGUUGCCAGCGAUUAGGUCGGGAACUCAAAGGAGACUGCCAGUGAUAAACUGGAGGAAGGUGGGGAUGACGUCAAGUCAUCAUGGCCCUUACGACCAGGGCUACACACGUGCUACAAUGGCGCAUACAAAGAGAAGCGACCUCGCGAGAGCAAGCGGACCUCAUAAAGUGCGUCGUAGUCCGGAUUGGAGUCUGCAACUCGACUCCAUGAAGUCGGAAUCGCUAGUAAUCGUGGAUCAGAAUGCCACGGUGAAUACGUUCCCGGGCCUUGUACACACCGCCCGUCACACCAUGGGAGUGGGUUGCAAAAGAAGUAGGUAGCUUAACCUUCGGGAGGGCGCUUACCACUUUGUGAUUCAUGACUGGGGUGAAGUCGUAACAAGGUAACCGUAGGGGAACCUGCGGUUGGAUCACCUCCUUACCUGAAAGAAGC
RNAcentral lists this ribosomal RNA (544 nucleotides) under Salmonella enterica. Its description in RNAcentral is "bacterial SSU rRNA". It matches the Rfam family "Bacterial small subunit ribosomal RNA", at positions 1001 to 1533 of the family's 1533-position model. The record is from RNAcentral. Lineage: Bacteria; Pseudomonadati; Pseudomonadota; Gammaproteobacteria; Enterobacterales; Enterobacteriaceae.